CAGGUGUCGAGCACCCGGUGCUCGGUCGCCUCGUGGGCGACGUGCCCGGCGAUGAGCACCGUCGUGUCCAGUUCGUCCUGCAGCGCCCGG
This 90-nucleotide transfer RNA is filed under the name Longispora fulva. Its description in RNAcentral is "tRNA-Thr". Lineage: Bacteria; Bacillati; Actinomycetota; Actinomycetes; Micromonosporales; Micromonosporaceae. The record is from RNAcentral.